This 253-nucleotide ribosomal RNA is filed under the name uncultured bacterium. RNAcentral's name for it is "partial 16S ribosomal RNA". It matches the Rfam family "Bacterial small subunit ribosomal RNA", at positions 524 to 776 of the family's 1533-position model. The record is from RNAcentral.
UACGUAGGGGGCAAGCGUUGUCCGGAUUUAUUGGGCGUAAAGCGCGUGUAGGCGGCCACGCAGGUCCGCUGUGAAAACUCGAGGCUCAACCUCGAGCUGUCGGUGGAAACCGCGUGGCUAGAGUCCGGAAGAGGGGACUGGAAUUCCCGGUGUAGCGGUGGAAUGCGCAGAUAUCGGGAGGAACACCCGUGGCGAAGGCGGGUCUCUGGGCAAUAACUGACGCUGAGGAGCGAAAGCGUGGGGAGCGAACAGG